UGAGGAAUAUUGGUCAAUGUGCGAGAGCCUGAACCAGCCAAGUAGCGUGCAGGAUGACGGCCCUAUUGGUUGUAAACUGCUUUUAUUUGGGGAUAAAGUGUGCGACGUGUCGUGCAUUGCAGGUACCGCAUGAAUAAGGACCGGCUAAUUCCGUGCCAGCAGCCGCGGUAAUACGGAAGGUCCGGGCGUUAUCCGGAUUUAUUGGGUUUAAAGGGAGCGUAGGCCGCCAGAUAAGCGUGUUGUGAAAUGUACCGGCUCAACCGGUGAAUUGCAGCGCGAACUGUUUGGCUGGAGUGCACGGUAAGCAGGCGGAAUUCAUGGUGUAGCGGUGAAAUGCUUAGAUAUCAUGAAGAACUCCGAUUGCGAAGGCAGCUUGCUGCAGUGCGACUGACGCUGAUGCUCGAAGGUGCGGGUAUCAAACAGG
This 424-nucleotide ribosomal RNA is filed under the name Verrucomicrobiota bacterium. RNAcentral's name for it is "Verrucomicrobia bacterium partial 16S ribosomal RNA". It matches the Rfam family "Bacterial small subunit ribosomal RNA", at positions 355 to 776 of the family's 1533-position model. Lineage: Bacteria; Pseudomonadati; Verrucomicrobiota. The record is from RNAcentral.